This 88-nucleotide transfer RNA is filed under the name Wildemania schizophylla. Its description in RNAcentral is "tRNA-Ser". It matches the Rfam family "tRNA". Rfam says of the family: Transfer RNA (tRNA) molecules are approximately 80 nucleotides in length. Their secondary structure includes four short double-helical elements and three loops (D, anti-codon, and T loops). Lineage: Eukaryota; Rhodophyta; Bangiophyceae; Bangiales; Bangiaceae. The record is from RNAcentral.
GGAGAGAUGGCUGAGCGGUCGAAAGCGGCAGAUUGCUAAUCUGCUGUACGAUUAAAUUCGUACCGAGGUUCGAAUCCCUCUCUCUCCU